This 550-nucleotide ribosomal RNA is filed under the name uncultured Glomus. RNAcentral's name for it is "SSU rRNA". It matches the Rfam family "Eukaryotic small subunit ribosomal RNA", at positions 549 to 1098 of the family's 1831-position model. The record is from RNAcentral. Lineage: Eukaryota; Fungi; Glomeromycota; Glomeromycetes; Glomerales; Glomeraceae.
UGGAGGGCAAGUCUGGUGCCAGCAGCCGCGGUAAUUCCAGCUCCAAUAGCGUAUAUUAAAGUUGUUGCAGUUAAAAAGCUCGUAGUUGAAUUUCGGGGUUCAUACGUUGGUCGGGCUUUUUGGUCUGUACUUAUGUAAUGGAUUCCUACCUUCUGAAUAACCGGCAUGUCAUUAAUUUGGUGCGCCGGGGAAGCAGGACUGUUACCUUGAAAAAAUUAGAGUGCUUAAAGCAGGCUAUCGCCUGAAUACAUUAGCAUGGAAUAAUGAAAUAGGACGGCAUGGUUCUAUUUUGUUGGUUUCUAGGAUCACCGUAAUGAUUAAUAGGGAUAGUUGGGGGCAUUAGUAUUCAAUUGUCAGAGGUGAAAUUCUUGGAUUUAUUGAAGACUAACUUCUGCGAAAGCAUUUGCCAAGGAUGUUUUCAUUAAUCAAGAACGAAAGUUAGGGGAUCGAAGACGAUCAGAUACCGUCGUAGUCUUAACCAUAAACUAUGCCGACUAGGGAUCGGACGACGUUAAUUUUUUAAUGACUCGUUCGGCGCCUUACGGGAAAC